Molecule: small RNA, 666 nt
Filed under: Pan troglodytes (chimpanzee)
Lineage: Eukaryota; Metazoa; Chordata; Mammalia; Primates; Hominidae
Description: processed transcript
Source: RNAcentral
GCUAAGAAACCCUACCGUAAGGCACCACCAGAGCAUCGGGAGCUGCGUUUGGAAAUUCCUGGAUCCCGGCUUGAGCAGGAGAGAGCCCUACAGCCCUCUUCUGCUAUAAGAGUCUUUGGGCUUCACACCUGAGCCUUCUUGUGGCUAUUCGGAGGGUGAGCCAGCCGGGGGUCCAGUGGUCCAGAGCUGAGCCUCAAGCCUCUCUUUUUUGCCUAGGAACCCCUGACUGAUGCAGAAAGGAUGAAGCUCUUACAGCAGGAGAAUGAAGAGCUUCGCCGGCGCCUGGCCUCCGCCACCAGACGCACUGAGGCCCUGGAACGUGAGCUGGAAAUUGGGCAGGACUGCCUGGAGCUGGAGCUGGGCCAGAGCCGCGAGGAGCUGGACAAAUUUAAGGAUAAGUUCCGCAGGCUGCAGAACAGCUACACGGCUUCCCAGCGGACCAACCAGGAGUUGGAGGACAAGCUGCACACACUGAUCAAGAAGGCUGAGAUGGAUAGGAAGACGCUGGACUGGGAGAUUGUGGAGCUGACCAACAAGCUGUUGGAUGCCAAGAACACCAUCAACAAGCUGGAAGAGCUCAAUGAGCGGUACCGGCUGGACUGCAACCUGGCUGUACAGCUCCUCAAGUGCAACAAGUCCCACUUCCGAAACCACAAGUUUGCCGAU